GAUAGCGUGGCCGAGCGGUCUAAGGCGCUGGAUUAAGGCUUCGGUGGCGUGGGUUCGAAUCCCACCGCUGUCA
Molecule: transfer RNA, 73 nt
Filed under: Merluccius polli (Benguela hake)
Lineage: Eukaryota; Metazoa; Chordata; Actinopteri; Gadiformes; Merlucciidae
Description: tRNA-Leu
Rfam family: tRNA
About the family: Transfer RNA (tRNA) molecules are approximately 80 nucleotides in length.
Source: RNAcentral